CAGCAGGAGAACAGAAAUCACUAGCCCCAUUUUUGGGGGUGUGGACAUGAAGAUGCGGUUAAAUGAUUCACACAGGGCCACGGAGAUUCAUUUGUGAGUACAGAACUCCCCACUCUGCGCCCUGUCCUCACGCUGCCUGGUCACAGCCCUGCAGCAAACCUGCCUCACAAAUGAAUCAGAACAAGCCAACAGCAAAAACAACGAAGCAACUUAGAAUGUUUUGGCUGCAAAGGUGAUGAGAGUUUUCACAGCCGUGGCUGUGAGCUGCAAACCUGCAGGUAGCACGGCAGCAAACAAACAGUGUGAGCAAUGCCCGCGGGCUUACCUGUCUUGCCAACGCUGCUGCCACCCAGCACCACCAGCUUGAUGAUUUUGUUGGGCACGCAGUCUAAUACCGGAUACUCUGGUAUGGGAAGCAAGAGAAAGUUAGUAGAAUACUGUGACAUGGUAUCCUGAGAGAUGAGACGCAUGCCAGAAAUGAGAGCUGAUCAACUCCAGUAGGAGUUGGGAGAGAAGAGAAGGAAAACAGCUUCUCUGCGUCUGUUCUUGGCUGCGUGUCCCUGGGAAGAGAAGCCUUCUCAUUGCAUUUAAGUCGCUUUCCCGAGGACUGUUAGAGCAACCGGCCUCCUCUUCCGAUGCUUCUGCUCAGACAGCGACUUUGGAAAGCAAAAGGAAACUUUUUGAUCAACCCCCGUGAAAACUGACUCCUCCGCUCGGCAGCCAAUCACAAGUGAAGCCAUGACAUUCCUCCGGCCGGGCACCAGCGUGUGCCUCCAUCCACCCACCACGCUCCCGCUCCCCGCUUUAUCUCCCCGCUGCCUGUUUGAUGUGCUUCCCCUUGGCUCCUCGCUAAAACAAGGUCCUUCUGGCUUUCAGUCGUCGCAGCAGUAUUUGCAGUGAGAAUUCCGAGAGCAGUGGGUUCACAGAGUCACAGAAUGGCUCAGGUUGGAGGGGAACUUAAAGAUCAAUCAUUCCAACCCCCACCGUGGGCUGGUUGACCCCCACUGGAUCAGACUGCCCUGGAUUAUUUCCAAGUACUAGCUCACGUUUGUAUGCUCCAGGAUACAUUUCUUCUACAUCAUUUUUAUGUGGCGAUAGUUGCAAUGGUCGAUUGGAAGGUGGAUCAGCACCAUGUUGGGGCAUUGCUGUGCCUUUAAGCAUGGAUAAGUGAAUUUGGGCUGACAACAGCUAUGGGAAGGCUGAGGAAGGACUCAGGAUCCUUCAGCGGGGUGAGCCAGACAGAGGGAGUGAAGAAAGAAUGACUUCUAUAGGAAAACCUAGUGUAGUGUUGAGACAGCUGGCAGCUGGAAGGUCUGUAGGGAUGACAGCAUGUAACUGUACACGAGCCACAAUCAACUCUCAGUUAUCAAGGAUAAUGGGGAGGGAAGAGAACGCGAAGAGAGGUGGGGAGGGAAUGAGCCAGAUAAAGAAAAAACUGCAAAUAAUAUGAAACAGAUGUAAAUUAAACUACAGAAAAGAUAGUCUGAGCAUUCAUCUCUGCAGAACUGGUCAAAAGAGGUCUGCAAAGGGCUUCAGACUGCGAUGGGAAGAGGCGAGCCUGGUGCCUGCAGCAUACAGCUGAGACGUGCGCUCUGUCACGCUGUGUGGGAAACAGAUCCUGACGGAAAGUGGCACCGCAGCUAAUCCACCCACAGGCCCCGGAGACCCGGGCGUGCGGAUUUCUCCUGCCCUCUGCAUGCUCCUGCCAGGCAGAGGGUAGGCACGGUUCCUUAUGGAGAGGCUGCAGCCACCAAAAGAGCUUUCUGUGCACAGACGCUUUCGUGCAGCUGCUUUCAAUCACAGCAUACACAGAGCUCUCCCAGCAGGUUUCAGAAGCCGGGCCAUGGCUAUGAGCAGUACGAAGGGGAAGCAGGCCAGCUUUCUCGUUUGCCACUCCUUCUCAAAGCACUGGGUGCCAGAUUUUCAAAUGAUCUUCAUUUCCAUGCCAGCCCCACAGAGGACCUAAGCAUGUCACAUGUGAACUGGGUGCAGAGCUUUAGAGAAAUCCAGCUUUGGUGCACAGCAGUCCAGCAAAAUAAGCACAGGAUAAGGAAGAUUCAUGAAUGUGUCACUUUUCCAGCGCACAGUUUCCCCUCUAAAAACUUCUUCUGAAGCAAUAUUUGUGCUGAGUUGUGUAAGCACGCAGGGUUAUUACUUUGACCAUCAUGACAGUCAGCUGAGGAGGAGUGGGGCAAAAGGUCUGGAAGGCUCUUCAGCUCAUGAUGCUGAGAGGGAGCCACCAGAUCACGUGUCUUCUGGGACAUGACUCCUAUGUGAAUAGAGUAAAUGAGCUUCCAAAUUUUUGGAAACACCCAAACACCGAAAAAUCUUCUCCAGGAUAUUUCAGUCGGGCGCCUUAAUCUUGCAGAAGUUUUGUAAGAACAGGCAAAGUGAGAGGAAAAUUUCACAGUCUCGUGGUCAAUAAGCAGGGCACUUUGAACUGUGUCCUUGAGCUGGACACAUUAUAAAUUUGGGGAUUAACUAGCAAUGGUAUGUCUCUAAGUAUGAUGCUGGAACCCUUGUUACCAUUUCUUAUUAGAAGCAUAUGCUAGUGAGUAAUAUAAAAGUAUUCAUCACUACAGCUCUCCUAUAAAAACAAAUGGCAGUAAUCUAUCAGUGUCUAGGUGGCCAGAAGGAUUUCGGUGCAGGGAAAAAGGCCAGAUAAGCUAAGGAGUACCAUGUAGAACAUUCUAUACUAGCAGAGGCAUUCUUAGAACAAUACGCAUCUGCUGACUUGCUCCGGAAGAGGAGAUACUGUUGACAGAAACAGAAGUAAAUGUCCUUUGGGGUAACCAAAUGUUGUGUCAGUGCUGAGCAACUCCAGAAGGUUCUCAAGAAGUGAGUGCACAGAAAGCUGGCAGGGAGGCUUUAGUCUAGAUAAAUGUAAAGCAAUGCAUCUAGAGAAGAAUGACACAAACUAUGCUUAAAUGAUGCUGAACUUGGAUGCGGCACUCAUAAAUAAGGAAGGAGACCCUGGAGUCCUCGCCAGCAGUUCUCUGAGAUCAACAUCUCUGCAUGCAACAGCAGCAAAAAAAGCCAACAAAACUUUCAAGGGGAAUGAAGAAGAAGACAUGGGGCAGCUUUUUGCUGCUUACAGAAAAGCUCCGAGCACCCCCAGCUCCACCCUGCAGCUCUCUGCAUCUCACCAACGCAGUGGGGUGUGAGAAGGGGCAGAGCUGGGCAGCUGGAAUGGCCGUGGGCAUGGAGCAGCUUCUGGAAAAGCUGAGUGCAGGUGCUGGUGCUGACACCCAAGAGGAACUGUGUGGGGGCAGGAAUGAAAGAAAGCCCAGUGGUGAAGGAAAUGUUGAACUGCUUCUUUUGGCAGCCGUGAUGGCUUCUAGUUGCCUACAACAAACGUGGGAGCGGUUUUAGAGCACAUUUUGGAAGCAGACCAAUCGAUCUCUAGUUCCUUUGCUCAUACAGCUCAAUCUCAUUUUCUCAUACCCUAGCCCAGGCUUCUUAUGCUUCUAACCAAAGCCCGCUGCCACUGUGUGCAGGAUAUGCAGGAAUCUUUGUCCAGAUGUAAUGGUUGUUUGUUUUUUUUUUAGAUGAUAAUAAAAAAGCAACAUAUUCUCCAAACGUUGUAAAUAUACUCCCAAGCUCCUUUUUUAAACAACAACAACGAAGGUAACGUUAUGGCUCUGAUCCUGAAGAACAAGCCAAGGAAGAUAUGUAAUACAAGCCAGAGGUUUUGAAUCUGAUCUUUAUCUGAUUUUCUGGAUUGUCAGAACUGUCUUUUCACUGAGUGAAACCAUGCAGACAAUUCACACUAUUUGAGAUUGUAUAACCCUUGGCAUGUAGGAUAAGAAUUGUUUUCGAAAGAGAUUUUAAUUGUUUGUGUACAAUGGACUUAUAUUUAGCUUAAAAAGCGCAUGUUUUUAAUUCAAAUUCUCUUGGAAAAACAAUAGCUUCAAUUAAAGGGGGAAUGUUUGCAAAACUCGGAGCAACUUUGAAAACAUUUGGAUGAUUGUGGAGGUUUCUCUAACCACUGGCUGGGUUGCUCCACGCAAAGAUAUGCGCCUUUGCAUGUUGCACAGAGAAUAUGUCGUUUCCACACCAAAAUUGUAAAGAUGUAUGGAUUGGUCUCUGUUGCUUUUGGCUAUGAUUUUUAUAAGAUUUUCUGUUUUUAAUGUUAUUGCCACUUGUACAUAUUUUCAGAGAUGAAGUAUUCUAAAAAUAAAAGUGUUUGUUGUUUACCAUAGUGCUUUUCAUACAGGGACGUCAAAUUGCUUUCAAAACUGGAUAUAAUUAUUCCUUAUACACUUGACAAAGGGAGAAACAGAUGAGCAGAGCUAGAAUGGUCUUGCUAAGACCACCACACGUGGAGAAAAAGACUCAUUCCCGCUCUGCCCAGCACUGGCAAAAGUGAUCUUUCC
RNAcentral lists this long non-coding RNA (4376 nucleotides) under Gallus gallus (chicken). Lineage: Eukaryota; Metazoa; Chordata; Aves; Galliformes; Phasianidae. The record is from RNAcentral.